UGUUAAAAUUUUCAUCCAUUCGUACUAUUAAAAUUUUCAGCCAUGUGUACUUCAUGUUGAUGUAUAUGAAUCAAUUUUUAGUAGUAGAAAUUGAUGAAAUUUUUAAUA
This is a non-coding RNA of Gossypium arboreum, 108 nucleotides long. Lineage: Eukaryota; Viridiplantae; Streptophyta; Magnoliopsida; Malvales; Malvaceae. The record is from Rfam.